RNAcentral lists this transfer RNA (77 nucleotides) under Providencia heimbachae. Its description in RNAcentral is "tRNA-Met". It matches the Rfam family "tRNA". Rfam says of the family: Transfer RNA (tRNA) molecules are approximately 80 nucleotides in length. Their secondary structure includes four short double-helical elements and three loops (D, anti-codon, and T loops). Further hydrogen bonds mediate the characteristic L-shaped molecular structure. tRNAs have two regions of fundamental functional importance: the anti-codon, which is responsible for specific mRNA codon recognition, and the 3' end, to which the tRNAs corresponding amino acid is attached (by aminoacyl-tRNA synthetases). tRNAs cope with the degeneracy of the genetic code in two manners: having more than one tRNA (with a specific anti-codon) for a particular amino acid; and 'wobble' base-pairing, i.e. permitting non-standard base-pairing at the 3rd anti-codon position. RNAcentral also lists the same sequence under 2 other names. The record is from RNAcentral. Lineage: Bacteria; Pseudomonadati; Pseudomonadota; Gammaproteobacteria; Enterobacterales; Morganellaceae.
CGCGGGAUGGAGCAGUCUGGUAGCUCGUCGGGCUCAUAACCCGAAGGUCGUCGGUUCAAAUCCGGCUCCCGCAACCU